RNAcentral lists this transfer RNA (77 nucleotides) under Enterobacterales bacterium. Its description in RNAcentral is "tRNA-Met". It matches the Rfam family "tRNA". Rfam says of the family: Transfer RNA (tRNA) molecules are approximately 80 nucleotides in length. Their secondary structure includes four short double-helical elements and three loops (D, anti-codon, and T loops). Lineage: Bacteria; Pseudomonadati; Pseudomonadota; Gammaproteobacteria; Enterobacterales. The record is from RNAcentral.
GGCUACGUAGCACAGAUGGUUAGAGCACAUCAUUCAUAAUGCUGGGGUCGGUGGUUCAAGUCCACCCGUAGCUACCA